AACACAUGCAAGUCGAGCGGUAACAGAGAGUAGCUUGCUACUUUGCUGACGAGCGGCGGACGGGUGAGUAAUGCUUGGGAACAUGCCUUGAGGUGGGGGACAACAGUUGGAAACGACUGCUAAUACCGCAUAAUGUCUACGGACCAAAGGGGGCUUCGGCUCUCGCCUUUAGAUUGGCCCAAGUGGGAUUAGCUAGUUGGUGAGGUAAUGGCUCACCAAGGCGACGAUCCCUAGCUGGUUUGAGAGGAUGAUCAGCCACACUGGGACUGAGACACGGCCCAGACUCCUACGGGAGGCAGCAGUGGGGAAUAUUGCACAAUGGGCGCAAGCCUGAUGCAGCCAUGCCGCGUGUGUGAAGAAGGCCUUCGGGUUGUAAAGCACUUUCAGUCAGGAGGAAAGGUUAGUAGUUAAUACCUGCUAGCUGUGACGUUACUGACAGAAGAAGCACCGGCUAACUCCGUGCCAGCAGCCGCGGUAAUACGGAGGGUGCGAGCGUUAAUCGGAAUUACUGGGCGUAAAGCGUACGCAGGCGGUUUGUUAAGCGAGAUGUGAAAGCCCCGGGCUCAACCUGGGAACUGCAUUUCGAACUGGCAAACUAGAGUGUGAUAGAGGGUGGUAGAAUUUCAGGUGUAGCGGUGAAAUGCGUAGAGAUCUGAAGGAAUACCGAUGGCGAAGGCAGCCACCUGGGUCAACACUGACGCUCAUGUACGAAAGCGUGGGGAGCAAACAGGAUUAGAUACCCUGGUAGUCCACGCCGUAAACGAUGUCUACUAGAAGCUCGGAACCUCGGUUCUGUUUUUCAAAGCUAACGCAUUAAGUAGACCGCCUGGGGAGUACGGCCGCAAGGUUAAAACUCAAAUGAAUUGACGGGGGCCCGCACAAGCGGUGAGCAUGUGUUUAAUUCGAUGCAACGCGAAGAACCUUACCUACACUUGACAUACAGAGAACUUACUAGAGAUAGUUUGGUGCCUUCGGGAACUCUGAUACAGGUGCUGCAUGCUGUCGUCAGCUCGUGUUGUGAGAUGUGGUUAAGUCCCGCAACGAGCGCAUCCCUAUCCUUAGUUGCUAGCAGGUAAUGCUGAGAACUCUAAGGAGACUGCCGGUGAUAACCCGGAAGAAAGGUGGGGACGAAGGU
RNAcentral lists this ribosomal RNA (1135 nucleotides) under uncultured Pseudoalteromonas sp. RNAcentral's name for it is "bacterial SSU rRNA". It matches the Rfam family "Bacterial small subunit ribosomal RNA", at positions 50 to 1186 of the family's 1533-position model. Lineage: Bacteria; Pseudomonadati; Pseudomonadota; Gammaproteobacteria; Alteromonadales; Pseudoalteromonadaceae. The record is from RNAcentral.